AAAAAAAGAAACUCUGAGUUUCCGUGUCUAACUUUAACUGUCCGUCUUAUAUGAAUUUUUUUUAUAAUUUAUAUUUUCAUUGUUGUUAGAUGAUAAAACAUGAUUAAUAUUUUAUGCGUGACUUGUCUUUUUAAUUUUUUUUUAUAAAUUUUUCAAAUAAGACGGACGGUCAAACGUUGGACACGGAAAUCAGGGUUUGUCUUUUU
Molecule: microRNA precursor, 206 nt
Organism: Oryza sativa Japonica Group (Japanese rice)
Lineage: Eukaryota; Viridiplantae; Streptophyta; Magnoliopsida; Poales; Poaceae
Rfam family: MIR812 microRNA precursor family
Source: Rfam